AGAGAGAUACCCAAAAAGAGAAAACUAAUAUGCAAAAACGAAACGGUAUAUACAAGGGAAAGUAGUGGGUUACCUUCUAAUGAGAAUGAGUAGAGGGAGAUGUUCCCUCCUCGUCGUCCUCAGGUGGUAACGCUUCAAGGUGCUCAUCAGCAAGAGUGCCCAUCUCUUCAAUGUAGAAGGCUUGCUCGAACACAGUUGGUUUCUUCAUUUUCUCCUUGAUGUCAAAGUGGAGA
This 233-nucleotide long non-coding RNA is filed under the name Brassica napus (rape). RNAcentral describes it as "long non-coding RNA (BNAP_LNC017044)". Lineage: Eukaryota; Viridiplantae; Streptophyta; Magnoliopsida; Brassicales; Brassicaceae. The record is from RNAcentral.